This 830-nucleotide ribosomal RNA is filed under the name uncultured bacterium. RNAcentral describes it as "bacterial SSU rRNA". It matches the Rfam family "Bacterial small subunit ribosomal RNA", at positions 9 to 844 of the family's 1533-position model. The record is from RNAcentral.
GAGUUUGAUCCUGGCUCAGGACGAACGCUGGCGGCGUGCCUAACACAUGCAAGUCGAACGGGACCAGGGGCAACUCUGGUUCAGUGGCGGACGGGUGCGUAACACGUGAGGAACAUGACCUUCGGCGGGGGAUAGCCGGCCCAACGGCCGGGUAAUACCGCGUACGACCUUUCGGGGACAUCCCUGGAUGGUGAAAGCAGCAAUGCUCCGAUGGAGUGCCUCGCGGCCUAUCAGCUAGUUGGUGGGGUAACGGCUCACCAAGGCAACGACGGGUAGCUGGUCUGAGAGGAUGGCCAGCCACAUUGGGACUGAGACACGGCCCAGACUCCUACGGGAGGCAGCAGUGGGGAAUAUUGCGCAAUGGACGAAAGUCUGACGCAGCGACGCCGCGUGUUGGAUGAAGGUCUUCGGAUCGUAAACCACUGUCGGGAGGGACGAAUACGCCGCAAGGCGGGUGACGGUACCUCCAAAGGAAGCACCGGCUAACUCCGUGCCAGCAGCCGCGGUAAUACGGAGGGUGCGAGCGUUGUCCGGAAUCACUGGGCGUAAAGGGCGCGUAGGCGGCCCGAUAAGUAGGGGGUGAAAUCCUGCGGCUUAACCGCAGGGCUGCCUUCUAAACUGUCGGGCUCGAGCACAGUAGAGGCAGGUGGAAUUCCCGGUGUAGCGGUGGAAUGCGUAGAGAUCGGGAAGAACAUCAGUGGCGAAGGCGGCCUGCUGGGCUGUUGCUGACGCUGAAGCGCGACAGCGUGGGGAAGCAAACAGGAUUAGAUACCCUGGUAGUCCACGCCGUAAACGAUGGCACUAGGCGUCGGGGGGAGCGACCCUCCGGU